UACAGAGGUCUCAAGCGUUGUUCGGAUUCAUUGGGCGUAAAGGGUGUGUGGGUGGCGCCGUAAGUCGGGUGUGAAAUUUCGGAGCUUAACUCCGAAACUGCAUUCGAUACUGCGGUGCUUGAGGACUGGAGAGGAGACUGGAAUUCAUGGUGUAGCAGUGAAAUGCGUAGAGAUCAUGAGGAAGACCAGUGGCGAAGGCGGGUCUCUGGACAGUUCCUGACACUGAGACACGAAGGCCAGGGGAGCAAACGGG
Molecule: ribosomal RNA, 253 nt
Filed under: uncultured bacterium
Lineage: Bacteria
Description: partial 16S ribosomal RNA
Rfam family: Bacterial small subunit ribosomal RNA
Source: RNAcentral